This is an RNA transcript of Pseudopipra pipra, 2847 nucleotides long. It is a transcript of the gene named family with sequence similarity 228 member B, with no coding region annotated. The transcript is spliced from 9 exons. Lineage: Eukaryota; Metazoa; Chordata; Aves; Passeriformes; Pipridae. The record is from RefSeq and is a predicted model, not a curated record.
UGUGCGGCCGCGCGCGGAGGGGCCCGGCCGUGACUGUGCCCGUGUCCGUGCCCACGUCCCGCCUCCGCCCGGGAACAGGGUCCGGGUGCCGGCCCUGCGGCCGGGCUGCCCCAUCCCUGUCCCCGAGGGCGGUGCUUCCUCCUCCCGAGAGGCUGUGGGUAACGGGAGAGAGGCUGUUUUUCUCGGCGGAAGGAGACGGAGGGGCUCUAUAACAACCGUGAGGGGAUUUACAGCAUCCCUACCCCAGAAGAACAAAACUACUUGGAGGGAAAGGAUAUCUGUCAAAAAUAGUGUGACCAAGGAGCCCAUGGCACCUGUGCAGAUUCUUUUAACUGGAUGUUGCAAAAAAUAAUUGAAGAACAGAAUAUAUUUUUGUAAUUGAAAGAUCUGGCUGAAGACUUGAGAUUAUUCCAACCAUGCACAGUGUGAACAGCUCAGAGACUCCCUGGCUAAAAAUAAUGACACAUCUGAGACCUGUGAAAGAACCUGAUCAGCCACGGCCUUGGCAGAGGUUCUCCUCAGCACCAGCAAAGAGUGCCACAGCAAAUACUUUUGACUGCAGAAGAAAAUUAUUGCCAAAGAUUGGCUAACACAGAAGGGCUUCUGUUGUGCAAAGAUAUGAGUGGAGGAAUGAAAUGGAAGUUAUGAAGGGAGGAAUGAAAAAUAAUUAUUCACAAAGUUCUGCAAAAUCUGAGAUGUGUUUGUCAUGGAGAAGAACAAAGAACUCUGUAAAAAGCAACCAACUCAAUGGGUUUUAUCAAACUCUUGCAUCCUUUUGAGACAGCUUUAUCGAGUUAUUUGCAGUUUGGUAUGUGGAAAAGUUUCCCAUAAAACCUGAAACAAGCUUGUGACUAGUCACGGACUCAUGGAACAGCCUCAGCUGGAAGGGACCUUGAAAGAUCAUCUGGUUCAACCUUUUUUCGGGAAAGAGACACCGGAUGAGGUUGUCUAGCACCCUGUCCAAUCACAUCUUGAAAACCAUCAGUGAUAGGGACUCCACCACAUCCCUGGGGAGGUUGUUCCAGUCAGUGAUUGAUCUCACUCUAAAAAAUUUCUUUCUUAUAUUGAGAUGAAACUUCAGCCAAUGCAACUUGUACCUUUUACCCCUUGUCUCCUCCCUGUGGCUUCUGGUGCAGAGAGAACCUCCAUCCUCUUUGUAGCUGCUCUGUAAGUACUGUGAUGAGGCUCUCCCUGAGCCUGCUCUUUUCCAGGUAGAAUAGACUGAAUUCCUUCAGUCAAAGGAGAGCUAAUUCCUUUGGUUCUUAAGGAGUCUUCAGACAGGGAUCAUCCUGAAGGAAGACUUUUCACCUACUCACCAGUGUGUGUUGUGAGUACUUUCUUCUGGUGGUUCUCAGCUGGAGUGAUGGCUCUGUCUCCCUGCUGCUGUUACGGUGCUGGUUUUAGAAAGGAUCUGUGAUUAUGUGAAAUAGAUUUGUCAGGUGUAAUACAACAUACCAGUUGCUUCAAAUAGUAGGAUGAAAGGGUCUUAAAACGUGCCAGCAAUUUAGAUUUUCUCUUCUCAUUUGUUUUUGGUGGUUUUUUUAAUACUACUUGUCCUUUCCUUGCCUGGUCUGAUGUAUGAUGUCCUGCUUAUCUCAGGAUAAUAAACCUGUUGGAGUGUGGAGCUGGUCAGCAAGGUCAAGACAGACGUGACUGGAAACUACACUAUUUAUUGGAAGUAAGAAUCAAUAUUAAGCACAGGGAGUAGCAGGCUAAUUUUCCAUUCUGUGCAUCAAAUGCAUUCCUUGAGUCUGUGCUGCCGCUGGCAUGGUGGGCUUGUGCAAAAAUGCUGUGGCUGUAGCUCAGUUUUUAAACAACAGAAGAAAGUCACAGCAGGGAUGACUUUGAAUUCGUCUGUGGAAACCACAGGAGGAGGCAGCAGGUCAGACAGGUGAAAUGUGAACGUUUCAGCCCUGCCUCUGGCUUAGGCCUGAGUAAAACCAGCUCAGUUGAGGUUUGGGAUAACCCUCUGUCAUUUGGGGUCAGCCGUGUCCCUUCCCAGCUCCUUGUGACCCCCCCAGCUUGCUCACUGGUGGGGUGGGGAGAGAAGCUGAGAAAACCUUGGCUUAGUGUAAACACUACUUAGCAACAAUUAAAACAUCAACAUUACUCUCAUGCUAAAUUCAAAACACAGCACUGUACCAGCUACUAGAAAGAAAAUUAACUCUAUCCCAGCCAAAACUUGGACAACUUGUUGCUUGUAGAAGCUGCUGAUGGACUCGUGAAGACAAGGUCUCUCUGGUUAACCCAGAGAGUUGGUGCAGCCUGAUCACAGGGGAGGUACCCCCCUCAUCUUCCCUGCAGGAAUUCCAUCCCCAAGUAACACCUGACCAAAGCCGAGACAUCAUUGCUUCUGUUCAGUGCAUCUUGGACAGAGAAAAUUGUUUUGUGAGGGAGGUGGACAGAUACCUGAGGCACAAUGAUUUCCUAAGUCUGAGAAAGAAGGAGAUUGUGUACAAAGAAUGGCUUAAGGAUGUUUUAGAGCCAGUGCUGCAGAAAAUUGAGGACGAAAUGGGCAGCCAGUCAAUCGAAGAAAUGCAGAAAAGGAAACAAGAACAAUUGUCUCAAUAUUUAAACUACUGUAACAAGAAGGGCUACGUGUUUUUGGACUAUUUUGACCCAUCAGAGUAUGAUCCAUUCUCCCAGAAGACGUGCACAGACUGCUGGAAGAAUGAAAGUCAUCAAUCACCACAAUGACAGCGAGAGCCAAUGAUGUCACCUGUCCCCCAGCUGACCAGAGCAGCAAGCACAGCCAUCAGAAGGUACCCUUUAGGUUACAUCUCCUGCCAAAGCAAGUGGUAACAGGCCAGGUCUUCUGGCAAGCUGCAAUAAACUUACUGUCUUGAA